Molecule: ribosomal RNA, 492 nt
Filed under: uncultured bacterium
Lineage: Bacteria
Description: partial 16S ribosomal RNA
Rfam family: Bacterial small subunit ribosomal RNA
Source: RNAcentral
AGUGAACGCUGGCGGUAGGCCUAACACAUGCAAGUCGAACGGCAGCACAGUAAGAGCUUGCUCUUACGGGUGGCGAGUGGCGUACGGGUGAGGAAUACAUCGGAAUCUACUUUUUCGUGGGGGUUAACGUAGGGAAACUUACGCUAAUACCGCAUACGACCUACGGGUGAAAGUAGUGGAUCUUCGGACCUUGCGCGAUUGAAUGAGCCGAUGUCGGAUUAGCUAGUUGGCGGGGUAAAGGCCCACCAAGGCGCCGAUCCGCAGCUGGUCUGAGAGGAUGGUCGGCCACAUUGGAGCUGGGACAGGGACCAGACGACUGCGGGAGGCAGCAGUGGGGAAUAUUGGACAAUGGGCGCAAGCCUGAUCCAGCCAUACCGCGUGGGUGAAGAAGGCCUUCGGGUUGGAAAGCCCUUUUGUUGGGAAAGAAAAGCAGCAGGUUAAUACCCCGCUGUUCUGACGGUACCCAAAGAAUAAGCACCGGCUAACUUCGUG